RNAcentral lists this small RNA (75 nucleotides) under Xanthomonas bromi. RNAcentral describes it as "sX9 sRNA". It matches the Rfam family "Xanthomonas sRNA sX9". The record is from RNAcentral. Lineage: Bacteria; Pseudomonadati; Pseudomonadota; Gammaproteobacteria; Lysobacterales; Lysobacteraceae.
AUGGACCACGUGUACGCUCCGCUCCUCCGCGUUGCCCGCACCCACCCGCCGACCGCUCGCGACAUUUUGUCAGCC